Molecule: ribosomal RNA, 323 nt
Filed under: Fusarium oxysporum
Lineage: Eukaryota; Fungi; Ascomycota; Sordariomycetes; Hypocreales; Nectriaceae
Description: SSU rRNA
Rfam family: Eukaryotic small subunit ribosomal RNA
Source: RNAcentral
CGGGGGCAUCAGUAUUCAAUUGUCAGAGGUGAAAUUCUUGGAUUUAUUGAAGACUAACUACUGCGAAAGCAUUUGCCAAGGAUGUUUUCAUUAAUCAGGAACGAAAGUUAGGGGAUCGAAGACGAUCAGAUACCGUCGUAGUCUUAACCAUAAACUAUGCCGACUAGGGAUCGGACGGUGUUAUUUUUUGACCCGUUCGGCACCUUACGAGAAAUCAAAGUGCUUGGGCUCCAGGGGGAGUAUGGUCGCAAGGCUGAAACUUAAAGAAAUUGACGGAAGGGCACCACCAGGGGUGGAGCCUGCGGCUUAAUUUGACUCAACAC